GAUUAAGUUAUUAAGGGCGCACGGUGGAUGCCUUGGCACUAGAAGCCGAUGAAGGACGUUACUAACGACGAUAUGCUUUGGGGAGCUGUAAGUAAGCUUUGAUCCAGAGAUUUCCGAAUGGGGAAACCCAGCAUGAGUUAUGUCAUGUUAUCGAUAUGUGAAUACAUAGCAUAUCAGAAGGCACACCCGGAGAACUGAAACAUCUUAGUACCCGGAGGAAGAGAAAGAAAAUUCGAUUCCCUUAGUAGCGGCGAGCGAAACGGGAAGAGCCCAAACCAACAAGCUUGCUUGUUGGGGUUGUAGGACACUCUAUACGGAGUUACAAAGGACGACAUUAGACGAAUCAUCUGGAAAGAUGAAUCAAAGAAGGUAAUAAUCCUGUAGUCGAAAAUGUUGUCUCUCUUGAGUGGAUCCUGAGUACGACGGAGCACGUGAAAUUCCGUCGGAAUCUGGGAGGACCAUCUCCUAAGGCUAAAUACUCUCUAGUGACCGAUAGUGAACCAGUACCGUGAGGGAAAGGUGAAAAGCACCCCGGAAGGGGAGUGAAAUAGAACCUGAAACCGUGUGCUUACAAGUAGUCAGAGCCCGUUAAUGGGUGAUGGCGUGCCUUUUGUAGAAUGAACCGGCGAGUUACGAUUUGAUGCAAGGUUAAGCAGUAAAUGUGGAGCCGUAGCGAAAGCGAGUCUGAAUAGGGCGUUUAGUAUUUGGUCGUAGACCCGAAACCAGGUGAUCUACCCUUGGUCAGGUUGAAGUUCAGGUAACACUGAAUGGAGGACCGAACCGACUUACGUUGAAAAGUGAGCGGAUGAACUGAGGGUAGCGGAGAAAUUCCAAUCGAACCUGGAGAUAGCUGGUUCUCUCCGAAAUAGCUUUAGGGCUAGCCUCAAGUGAUGAUUAUUGGAGGUAGAGCACUGUUUGGACGAGGGGCCCCUCUCGGGUUACCGAAUUCAGACAAACUCCGAAUGCCAAUUAAUUUAACUUGGGAGUCAGAACAUGGGUGAUAAGGUCCGUGUUCGAAAGGGAAACAGCCCAGACCACCAGCUAAGGUCCCAAAAUAUAUGUUAAGUGGAAAAGGAUGUGGCGUUGCCCAGACAACUAGGAUGUUGGCUUAGAAGCAGCCAUCAUUUAAAGAGUGCGUAAUAGCUCACUAGUCGAGUGACACUGCGCCGAAAAUGUACCGGGGCUAAACAUAUUACCGAAGCUGUGGAUUGUCCUUUGGACAAUGGUAGGAGAGCGUUCUAAGGGCGUUGAAGCAUGAUCGUAAGGACAUGUGGAGCGCUUAGAAGUGAGAAUGCCGGUGUGAGUAGCGAAAGACGGGUGAGAAUCCCGUCCACCGAUUGACUAAGGUUUCCAGAGGAAGGCUCGUCCGCUCUGGGUUAGUCGGGUCCUAAGCUGAGGCCGACAGGCGUAGGCGAUGGAUAACAGGUUGAUAUUCCUGUACCACCUAUAAUCGUUUUAAUCGAUGGGGGGACGCAGUAG
RNAcentral lists this ribosomal RNA (1479 nucleotides) under Staphylococcus aureus. RNAcentral describes it as "partial 23S ribosomal RNA". It matches the Rfam family "Bacterial large subunit ribosomal RNA", at positions 1 to 1480 of the family's 2925-position model. The record is from RNAcentral. Lineage: Bacteria; Bacillati; Bacillota; Bacilli; Caryophanales; Staphylococcaceae.